GCACAACGCGAAGAACCUUACCUACCCUUGACAUGUCUGGAAUCCUGAAGAGAUUUAGGAGUGCUCGCAAGAGAACCGGAACACAGGUGCUGCAUGGCUGUCGUCAGCUCGUGUCGUGAGAUGUUGGGUUAAGUCCCGCAACGAGCGCAACCCUUGUCAUUAGUUGCUACGAAAGGGCACUCUAAUGAGACUGCCGGUGACAAACCGGAGGAAGGUGGGGAUGACGUCAAGUCCUCAUGGCCCUUAUGGGUAGGGCUUCACACGUCAUACAAUGGUCGGGACAGAGGGUCGCCAACCCGCGAGGGGGAGCCAAUCCCAGAAACCCGAUCGUAGUCCGGAUCGCAGUCUGCAACUCGACUGCGUGAAGUCGGAAUCGCUAGUAAUCGCGGAUCAGCAUGUCGCGGUGAAUACGUUCCCGGGUCUUGUACACACCG
This 434-nucleotide ribosomal RNA is filed under the name uncultured bacterium. Its description in RNAcentral is "bacterial SSU rRNA". It matches the Rfam family "Bacterial small subunit ribosomal RNA", at positions 954 to 1392 of the family's 1533-position model. The record is from RNAcentral.